CUGCGGAAGGAUCAUUACCGAGUUUUCGAGCUCCGGCUCGACUCUCCCACCCUUUGUGAACGUACCUCUGUUGCUUUGGCGGCUCCGGCCGCCAAAGGACCUUCAAACUCCAGUCAGUAAACGCAGACGUCUGAUAAACAAGUUAAUAAACUAAAACUUUCAACAACGGAUCUCUUGGUUCUGGCAUCGAUGAAGAACGCAGCGAAAUGCGAUAAGUAAUGUGAAUUGCAGAAUUCAGUGAAUCAUCGAAUCUUUGAACGCACAUUGCGCCCCUUGGUAUUCCGGGGGGCAUGCCUGUUCGAGCGUCAUUACAACCCUCAAGCUCUGCUUGGAAUUGGGCACCGUCCUCACUGCGGACGCGCCUCAAAGACCUCGGCGGUGGCUGUUCAGCCCUCAAGCGUAGUAGAAUACACCUCGCUUUGGAGCGGUUGGCGUCGCCCGCCGGACGAACCUUCUGAACUUUUCUCAAGGUUGACCUCGGAUCAGGUAGGGAUACCCGCUGAACUUAAGCAUAUCA
RNAcentral lists this ribosomal RNA (517 nucleotides) under Lasiodiplodia theobromae. Its description in RNAcentral is "eukaryotic LSU rRNA". The stretch from base 155 to 308 matches the Rfam family "5.8S ribosomal RNA". Lineage: Eukaryota; Fungi; Ascomycota; Dothideomycetes; Botryosphaeriales; Botryosphaeriaceae. The record is from RNAcentral.